Molecule: long non-coding RNA, 450 nt
Organism: Daphnia magna
Lineage: Eukaryota; Metazoa; Arthropoda; Branchiopoda; Diplostraca; Daphniidae
Exons: 2
Source: RefSeq, a predicted model, not a curated record
UUGUGUUUUCUCGAUCCGUAGACGUGUCUGUCCCCGCAUAAAAGCUCGUAGCCUACAUACCUACCUCGUAGCUGCACAACCAACCUUAAGAGCAAAUCUGCUCAUCUAUUUGUGAAUGUAUAGCAUUGUUCCAGAAGAUCUUGUAAAGGCAUUAAAGGAUUCACAGAGCCGAAAGUGUAGUCCGUGAGUUGUGUUAAACAUGUGACGCAUUUUUACACAACGUGUCGAAAGAAAAUGGAGCCCAACGUAUGCAUGGGUUGUGAGACAGGCGUGUAUUUUAGGGACAGUGUAAUGCAGACAAGUUUGAUCAAAUUAACAGCAAGAAUUGAGCUGCAUGUGAAUUUCUAUGAAAAAAUUACACACUUAUGAUUAUGCCACAUAAGAAGUUAACUUAAAUCUAUGGAGUGUCAUACCAUAACUGAAUAAUCAAGUGCCACUGGUUAAAAUUGA